This 254-nucleotide ribosomal RNA is filed under the name uncultured bacterium. Its description in RNAcentral is "partial 16S ribosomal RNA". It matches the Rfam family "Bacterial small subunit ribosomal RNA", at positions 524 to 776 of the family's 1533-position model. The record is from RNAcentral.
UACGUAGGGGGCGAGCGUUGUCCGGAAUUAUUGGGCGUAAAGAGCUCGUAGGCGGCUUAGUAAGUCGGCGGUGAAAUACCGAGGCUCAACCUCGGCACUGCCGUCGAUACUGCUAUGGCUAGAGUUUGGUAGAGGAGAACGGAAUUCCCGGUGUAGCGGUGGAAUGCGCAGAUAUCGGGAGGAACACCCGUAGCGAAGGCGGUUCUCUGGGCCGACACUGACGCUGAGGAGCGAAAGCGUGGGGAGCGAACAGG